GCUUACGGCCACACCGCCUGGUUCACGCCCGAUCUCGUUUGAUCUCGGAAGCUAAGAUAGGUUGGGCCUGGUUAGUACGUGGAUGGGAGACCGCCUAGGAAUACCAGGUGCUGUAAGGC
Molecule: ribosomal RNA, 119 nt
Filed under: Scophthalmus maximus (turbot)
Lineage: Eukaryota; Metazoa; Chordata; Actinopteri; Pleuronectiformes; Scophthalmidae
Source: RNAcentral